UAGUUGGGUCUUAUUGUAGUGGUUCCUUCUAAUAUCUGUCCAAAUUUUUAUCAGAGAUUUACGUAGAGUGUGUCUGGAGAAAUAUGAAUGGCUUUUAUUGUUUGGGUUCCA
Notechis scutatus (mainland tiger snake) is the source of this 111-nucleotide non-coding RNA. The record is from RefSeq and is a predicted model, not a curated record. Lineage: Eukaryota; Metazoa; Chordata; Lepidosauria; Squamata; Elapidae.